Molecule: ribosomal RNA, 816 nt
Filed under: uncultured Actinomycetes bacterium
Lineage: Bacteria; Bacillati; Actinomycetota; Actinomycetes
Description: bacterial SSU rRNA
Rfam family: Bacterial small subunit ribosomal RNA
Source: RNAcentral
UCGAUACGGUCUAGCUAGAGUGUGGUAGGGGAGACUGGAAUUCCUGGUGUAGCGGUGGAAUGCGCAGAUAUCAGGAGGAACACCGACGGCGAAGGCAGGUCUCUGGGCCAUUACUGACACUGAGGAGCGAAAGCGUGGGGAGCGAACAGGAUUAGAUACCCUGGUAGUCCACGCCGUAAACGGUGGGCGCUAGUUGUGCGAACCUUCCACGGUUUGUGCGACGCAGCUAACGCAUUAAGCGCCCCGCCUGGGGAGUACGAUCGCAAGAUUAAAACUCAAAGGAAUUGACGGGGCCCCGCACAAGCAGCGGAGCAUGCGGCUUAAUUCGACGCAACGCGAAGAACCUUACCAAGGCUUGACAUAUACAGGAAUACGGCAGAGAUGUCGUAGCCGCAAGGUCUGUAUACAGGUGGUGCAUGGUUGUCGUCAGCUCGUGUCGUGAGAUGUUGGGUUAAGUCCCGCAACGAGCGCAACCCUCGUUCUGUGUUGCCAGCAUUUAGUUGGGGACUCACAGGAGACUGCCGGGGUUAACUCGGAGGAAGGUGGGGAUGACGUCAAAUCAUCAUGCCCCUUAUGUCUUGGGCUGCACGCAUGCUACAAUGGCUGGUACAAACGGCUGCAAUACCGCAAGGUGGAGCGAAUCCGAGAAAGCCAGUCUCAGUUCGGAUUGGGGUCUGCAACUCGACCCCAUGAAGUCGGAGUUGCUAGUAAUCGUAGAUCAGCAACGCUACGGUGAAUACGUUCCCGGGGCUUGUACACACCGCCCGUCACGUCACGAAAGUCGGUAACACCCAAAGUCAGUGGCCCAACCGUAAG